Molecule: ribosomal RNA, 1287 nt
Filed under: metagenome
Description: bacterial SSU rRNA
Rfam family: Bacterial small subunit ribosomal RNA
Source: RNAcentral
UAGCUAGUUGGUGAGGUAAAGGCUUACCAAGGCGACGAUCUGUAGCGGGUCUGAGAGGAUGAUCCGCCACACUGGAACUGAGACACGGUCCAGACUCCUACGGGAGGCAGCAGUGGGGAAUUUUGGACAAUGGGGGCAACCCUGAUCCAGCCAUGCCGCGUGAGUGAAGAAGGCCUUCGGGUUGUAAAGCUCUUUCGGCCGGGAAGAAAUCGCAUGGGCCAAUACCCUGUGUGGAUGACGGUACCGGAAUAAGAAGCACCGGCUAACUACGUGCCAGCAGCCGCGGUAAUACGUAGGGUGCGAGCGUUAAUCGGAAUUACUGGGCGUAAAGCGUGCGCAGGCGGUUUUGUAAGACAGGCGUGAAAUCCCCGGGCUUAACCUGGGAACUGCGUUUGUGACUGCAAGGCUAGAGUACGGCAGAGGGGGGUGGAAUUCCACGUGUAGCAGUGAAAUGCGUAGAGAUGUGGAGGAACACCAAUGGCGAAGGCAGCCCCCUGGGUCGAUACUGACGCUCAUGCACGAAAGCGUGGGUAGCAAACAGGAUUAGAUACCCUGGUAGUCCACGCCCUAAACUAUGUCAACUAGGUGUUGGGUGGGUAAAACCAUUUAGUACCGUAGCUAACGCGUGAAGUUGACCGCCUGGGGAGUGCGGCCGCAAGGUUAAAACUCAGAGGAAUUGACGGGGACCCGCACAAGCGGUGGAUGAUGUGGAUUAAUUCGAUGCAACGCGAAAAACCUUACCUACCCUUGACAUGCCAGGAACUUGCCAGAGAUGGCUUGGUGCCCGAAAGGGAGCCUGGACACAGGUGCUGCAUGGCUGUCGUCAGCUCGUGUCGUGAGAUGUUGGGUUAAGUCCCGCAACGAGCGCAACCCUUGUCGUUAAUUGCCAUCAUUUAGUUGGGCACUUUAACGAGACUGCCGGUGACAAACCGGAGGAAGGUGGGGAUGACGUCAAGUCCUCAUGGCCCUUAUGGGUAGGGCUUCACACGUCAUACAAUGGUCGGUACAAAGGGUUGCCAAGCCGCGAGGCGGAGCCAAUCCCAGAAAGCCGAUCGUAGUCCGGAUUGCAGGCUGCAACUCGCCUGCAUGAAGUCGGAAUCGCUAGUAAUCGUGGAUCAGCAUGUCACGGUGAAUACGUUCCCGGGUCUUGUACACACCGCCCGUCACACCAUGGGAGCGGGUUCCGCCAGAAGUAGGUAGCCUAACCGCAAGGGGGGCGCUUACCACGGCGGGGUUCGUGACUGGGGUGAAGUCGGAACAAGGUAGCCGUAGGGGAACCUGCGGCUG